This 72-nucleotide transfer RNA is filed under the name bacterium. RNAcentral describes it as "tRNA-Thr". It matches the Rfam family "tRNA". From Rfam's summary of the family: Transfer RNA (tRNA) molecules are approximately 80 nucleotides in length. RNAcentral also lists the same sequence under 3 other names. The record is from RNAcentral.
GCUGACGUAGCUCAGGGGUAGAGCAGCUGAUUUGUAAUCAGCCGGUCGGGGGUUCAAAUCCCUUCGUCAGCU